Non-coding RNA from Arachis ipaensis, 225 nucleotides. Lineage: Eukaryota; Viridiplantae; Streptophyta; Magnoliopsida; Fabales; Fabaceae. The record is from RefSeq and is a predicted model, not a curated record.
CAGAUAUCGGACCGACCGAUUUGUGAGAGGUACACAAAUCGAUCCCAGGAAUUUCUGAGAGGUACACAAAUCGGUCUCAGGGAUUUGUGUUAAAAAAAAUUAAAAAAUUUUAAGUACAGAAAUCAGACCCAAGAAUUUGUGUACUUCCACAGUUUUGAAAAACACCAAAAAUUACCAUAUUAAAAUAUAUCACCACUUUUAUUUCCAUAACAAAAAAAAUUAGCC